GCUGGAACGGAUUAAUGGCAUUUCAAUUAAUUUCAAUGGGGAAAAUUGCUUUGGGAUACGAGCAAUUUGACAUACGAGCAAGGUUACGGAACGAAUUAAACUCGUAUGUCGAGGUACCACUGUAUAUUUAAUUUACUCUUUUUAUUCUAGAAACAUAUUAUAUACUAAAAUAAUUAUUAAAAUCCAAGGGUCUGGUCCUUGUGAACCUAUACCAGUAGUGCAAGUUAAAAGAUAUUCUGUACUAUUCUGUGAAAAACUCGUUGCAGGUUAUCGCGUUUUCGAUUCUUCAAAAAAAAAAAAAAUGAAACAUUAAAUGAGUUCAUUAGAGCCGCAUUUUUCUACAUGUGUAUAUAAAACACUUUAUGGUUGAAUAACUGGAGAUCGUGUUGAAAAAAGGUAUAGUCAGCGCAAAAUUUACCUAUUUUCAUAAUGGCUUAAAGUUAUUUAUGUCGCUGCGUACCCCAGUAUAACCCUUGCCAUACCCCUAGGGGUACGCGUACCACCGGUUGAGAACUGCGGGUGUAGACGGCUUAGUCCCUGGCGUGCGGCCAUACAGUCGGGGUCAGGCGGGGUCACAUACAGCAUCCAAAUAUUGUCGACGCAGGGCAACACUUUGCAAUUUGAUUCGUAAAACACACACACUCACACACAUACCACACACUAACACACACACACACACCACUCACUUACACACACAGAAUAUCGUGUACCGAUGCUGUCACGUGACUGGAGACAUUUUUUCCGAUUUUUGAAACUCCGAUCGUAAUGACCAGCAACAUUUGAAACCUUCCUGCCGUGGUUGCCCUGAGUGAAGGCUGGGUUCUGACGACAGAAGUACAUCUGAGGUAAGUGAAACAGCAAUAAGUAAUCAAGGUACAGACCAUUGCUGGCCUGAAUCUUAGGUAACUUUAAAUUCACCCUUUGAUCACGUGGUAUGUAAAGCUUUUUCUAAAGACUUUGUGGAAUCUUUAUUUUGUAAAGCAAUAGAAACUAAACUGCAGAACAUGAUGUAAAUUUAGUGUCUGAUACCCCGCGAUUAUUAUUAGUGUUAACUUUUUUCAUUACUGUUGGUAGUAUUAUUCUGCUGUGUUUAUAUCUAGAGAAUAUUUAUCUUGGAAAAGUAAUCAAGUACAAUAUUUUCUGGAAGACAAGGCAAUUUCUUUAAUUUAAUAGCCUCGUGCCAUAAACGAUAUUGUUUGAGGAUGGAUAGGAAAAGUCAGAUAUUCUUUUCAAAUACAAUGGUACAGAAAAAAGAGAAUGCCACAAUAAUUAAAAUUACAACAGAUCGAAAGUCCCAAAGUAAGUUUUGUCAUAAAAAGAAAACAUUUCGGAUUAGUGAUCUUUAUAAACCAUAUGUGAAAAAUAGUAACAAUAUUAAUAACCCAUGAGAUAAUGUCAUUCGCGAGCAUAUUUCACAGCAUAUUUAGAAUCCUUCUUUCAUAUGAUAUAGUAAAAUAAUAAUAAGAUAAAAUAAUAUAAUAUGAUAAAGUAAUAUAAUAAUAUGAUAAAAAUUUUACUUGUAGAUAACAUACUCAUACGAAGGCACACGCACGAACAAUCACACACACAGAACCCCGAUAAAGAUAGAUGCGCAUAUUAUUCUCAAUCGAAAACAGAAGCUUCAGUGAUUAAUUACAUUUUCUUUGUUUCAGUAUUCACACAGUGAAACUCGUGCAACUGAAGCAGCAGACACACUCUCGAGAUAGCUAAGCAAGUCUGGUUAACGAAGCGUUUCGUGAAAUGGUCUGUUUCAAAUAUUGUACAAGGGAACAGGGGCACAGUCUGCAGAGAUGGUUGUGGGGAAGAAGAAGCCAUUGGGGUCUGCAUGAUGCUUGGCUAAAACAGUAGAUCAACCGGAGAAACAUCAUACUUCUUUUUGGCAAUCGUUCGUUCCUGGACUAGCGGAGUGGUUUUUCUGACUGCUACAGUGAUCUUCUUGCUCUGUCGAAAUUGUCGGUUAUCUCCCUUACCCAAGAUGAGGACCUAACACACGUUCACUCUACAUGUGCUACAGUGUUCUACACAAAGUAGUCUACACAAUGAAAGAAACUCGGGUCUCCACACACAGCCUAGACACAGAUUCUGACUAAAGGAACAGGUCGAGGAAGCCAUCAGAUGAAAUCCGGAUUAACAACGACUGUGAGAACUCAACAGACUCUGUGACGACUGAUAGCCUUGAAGAUAUGCUCGUCAAUCUUUCGAAGCUUAUAAUAAUACAGGAAAAACAAUCUCAGCUUUCAAAUAAUUAUAACACUCGAAACAGUGUUUGUAUACCCAAGAAAUGUGAAGACUAUCAAAACAAAAUAUCCAAGGUUAGUGUAGCUGCUGCAGUAUUGUUGUCAGUGAUAAAUAAAUGUUGGUAACAAAACACAAACCGCAAAUUUUAUUACAAAGAGAAUGAGUCGACAUUCUUUACUCUAUGUGUAGAUUGAAGACGGUUGCAGACAUUAGCCUCUCAAUAUUUUUUUUUUUUAUAUCUUCUAUUUGACUAGCAAUUGUGCGUUGAUUAUUUCCAAGUCACAGAUGUAAAUUGUCUUUUGAAAACAAUCUCUGCAGCAACGUGUGUCGACAUUCCAUCAGGAGCUCAGCCAUCCCUUCAUUACUAGAUGGUGUGCAACAGUCAAAUCAACCUUUUUGCAGCUGUAACAAAAAUAUUCCCACUUGUGACAUGCUGUAGCGACAUACUUGUGGCGAGUACAAAGCUGACAAAGAACGUUAACCAGUGCUACAUUGCGUAUUGUGAUUACGUCCCUUGGUAUACUUAAUUAUAAUUUCUUGCUGCGAUAAUGGUCGCCUGUUGCUGACACAGGUACUCAGCUCAAUGAUACAUGUUGUCUUUGCACGAUAGUCAUGAUUGUAGUCAUGUAUGAAAACACAUCCAUACACAUAUGUAUCCGAACGUACAAAGAAAAAUAACUUACACAAAUUCUUUACGAGUUGUCAUACACAAAGACGGUCCCAAGCAUUAAACAGCUAUACUCAUAAAGUUUCCUGCACUAUAAAACACAUUGUAAAAACAUUGUUGAUAAUGCGUCUACAAUUGUAUCGCUGAUCGACCACAACAAAGUUAUUCUAUUAAGAAUAAAACAGUGAAAACAGGUUUGAUUUGACAAUGUGAUCAGUCCGAACACUUCAAGACCAAUCAGUAAAAUAUUGUAGAGGUUGAUAUAACAGUUAAUUGGGUAACACAAUUUCAUUUGUAUAAAAUGUGUCUUUAUACAUUUUGCAAUCACUUGUUCAAUACUCCUUGUCUGUUAGUUGUGUUAAGUUGCCUAAGAGAUCUGAAAUGUAAUACCAAACGAGGGUUUUGAAAUUUUCAGAAAAUGAAAAGUUUGUUGACGUAUGAACAUAAAGCACUCAGCAUAUCGA
Pomacea canaliculata is the source of this 3369-nucleotide long non-coding RNA. RefSeq lists it as uncharacterized. The transcript has 4 exons. The record is from RefSeq and is a predicted model, not a curated record. NCBI's taxonomy places the organism in Eukaryota, Metazoa, Mollusca, Gastropoda, Architaenioglossa, Ampullariidae.